This 2001-nucleotide long non-coding RNA is filed under the name Lactuca sativa (garden lettuce). Its description in RNAcentral is "long non-coding RNA (LSAT_LNC000722)". Lineage: Eukaryota; Viridiplantae; Streptophyta; Magnoliopsida; Asterales; Asteraceae. The record is from RNAcentral.
AAAUAUGAUAAAGAUUUAUCAAAAGCAUUUCCAUAGAAAUGUAUUUCAUUAAAAGACUCGGGAUGUCAUGUUCGUACAGAUCAAAAGCAUAAACAGUACAAUAUAAGCCUUACUACAUUAUUUCAUAUCUACAGGCCUAUAUCCGUAAUCCCUCGUCCAAAACAUCACAUCUAUGCUCAUGCGCCACUACCUGUAAUACAAGAAACUGAGUGGGUCAGGCUUGGGAGCCUGGUGAGCACAUAGGGUUUUCAACCCACAAUAAAUAAGUUUAUUAACUUCAUUAAAUUAAACAAACCCGAUUACCCGUUCCCGUUAUCCUCACAUUACGUCCCUAAGCAUCUAUCAUAAGGGACCUAUCCUAAGGAUUAUCAUCGGGACGGACACUACUGCUAAGGGGAUUCCUCAGCAAUAAAUGUCCUUAAGGCAACCAUGUGGGGGAUGGAGUACAUCUGGUGAGCACACAGUUUAAAUAAACACACAGUUCGAAUAAACACCUACAAGUUGCGAGCCUGCUAGUGUUCCACUUGACUGUCUAGAAUAGUCUGUGGUCAUCAUCUAUACUCCGCUAGAUGACUGGAUCAUCAAUAACAUCUAUAACGAGGCCUCUCAUUAUUUUAUUUUGUCACACAGCAACUAUUACAUCUACCCAUGUUUUACCAAACACAUUUUGUAGAUAUAAAAUACAUAUAUAGUUUAUAUCAUUUAAAAAAAAAUUAUAAAAUCGUUCAUCCAGCAUAGAUAACAAGUAUACAGAUAAUAUGCACACACAACACGUAAUUUAUAUAAGAUACUUCAUAUCUAUGUGUAAGCUGAAAGUAACUAUGCACUCACUUUAACGUUCGAUAGACGAAUAACGUUCUGGAAUGGAUGCGAGAAGGUCGAGUAGUUUUCCGUGAAUACGAAUCUCCGAGAAAAUUUAGUUUCCUAAGGAAAUAUUAAUAUAAUUAAUAUUUGGAGGGUAGUUUGGUAAUUAACCAAGGUAUAGUGUCCGUUAUGUUAAUUAAAUAAUUUAGUUGGACUAAAUUAUAAAUAUAAUUUCCAAAUGAGGGACCAAUAUGGAACAUAUACAUCCUAGUUUAGGUGUUUAGGACUAAAUUUGUAAAUAAUUUCCAUGGUAGGGGGUUUAAAAUUAAUUUCGUAAUGAAGUUUGAAUAGUGGAGGCAUGAUUUGUAAUCCAUUUAAAAAAAAGAGGGGUCAAUCUCAUAAAUUCAAAAAAGAUCAUGGGUUUUAUUGAAAUAAAGCAAAUCAAAGUUUGCACAGUGCAUCUCUUUCAUUCAUACAUCGUGAGUUACAGAUCCUCUUUAAUAAAUGAAAAUGAUUUGCCACAUGUCAUUCUUUCAUGCAUUAUGCCACAUGUCAUUCUUUCAUGCAUUAUGCCACAUGUCAUUUUGUCAUAAUUUUGAAAUAUUUAUUUUUCAUUUGUCAUUUACUUCAUUUUUCAUUUUUCAAUAUAUUAUUAAGUUAGUUUCCAUAAAUUAAACAUAUCAUAAUUACUAUAUUAAUGUAAAUUUUCAAAUUUCAAAUUUAAUUUUAAAUAAAUUUACAGUUUAAACCUUUGUAUUUAACAUUUUGUUAUAAUUAACACGUUUAGUAAAUGGGUCUAACAACUAAACAAAUACUUUUAAUUUCUUUCAUGUUUUUUUCUUAUAAUUUUAUAAUUAUUUUAAAGUUCAAAUUAAAAUAAACUUCCCAUUUAAUCAUUCGUAUUUAACAGUUUAUUUUAAUCAACCCGUAUAACAUACGGGUCUCACACCUAGUAUUUGAAUGAAAUGUAAUCACUUCCUCCUGUUUCUUCUUCGAUUAAGCACAACAAAGCAAAAUAAAUAAAUAAACUAGUUCUUGGCCAUUUGCUAACGAAUGUAACAUACAAAAAUAAAUAAAUUGUGAUGGUGGAGUACUCACAAAGCAGCGGCAACAGGGGGUGGUGGAAUGGUGGUUUAUGGUGAUGAUCUUCAAGGUAAUAUAGAGGGAGAUAGAGAUCAAGAUUGAGAGAGAGAGAAG